Molecule: transfer RNA, 72 nt
Filed under: Dreissena polymorpha
Lineage: Eukaryota; Metazoa; Mollusca; Bivalvia; Myida; Dreissenidae
Description: transfer RNA glutamine (anticodon CUG)
Rfam family: tRNA
About the family: Transfer RNA (tRNA) molecules are approximately 80 nucleotides in length. Their secondary structure includes four short double-helical elements and three loops (D, anti-codon, and T loops). Further hydrogen bonds mediate the characteristic L-shaped molecular structure. tRNAs have two regions of fundamental functional importance: the anti-codon, which is responsible for specific mRNA codon recognition, and the 3' end, to which the tRNAs corresponding amino acid is attached (by aminoacyl-tRNA synthetases). tRNAs cope with the degeneracy of the genetic code in two manners: having more than one tRNA (with a specific anti-codon) for a particular amino acid; and 'wobble' base-pairing, i.e. permitting non-standard base-pairing at the 3rd anti-codon position.
Source: Rfam by way of RNAcentral
GGUUCCAUGGUGUGAUGGUUAGCACUCAAGACUCUGAAUCUUACGAUCCGAGUUCAAAUCUCGGUGGAACCU